UAAAAUUAAAAUUUAUUAAUUUUAUCUUUUAAAAAUAAUUGUAUCAUAUAUAUAUAAAUAUAAUUAUCUUAAGUUUGAAUUCUUUAAAGAGAUUUUUAGAUAAAAAUAUAAGAUAGAGCAAUUUGAGGAUAUUUGGAUGAGGAGGGAGACAACAAAUCUUAUGGACCGAAAGGGGGCAUCAAAAUCGUAUCUCUCAUGUCUCCUAGUAUUAGCUAUUAGGGGUACUGUUUCAUUGACGGCUUAUUUGGUAAUCGAGAAGGCACACACAACAUUGGAUCAGUUCAACGCACAUCAUCAACAUCAAGUGCACAAACUCCAUUAGUUUAAGUUCACAAAUUGCUAAAAUAUAAUUUGCCAAUUUACUUAUUCUUAUCCUUUAAGAUAUGCUUGGUUGACGGGAAACAAUUCUAACGAGGGAUUAACAAAAACCAAACAAAAUCAUGACCGAAAUUUGAUUGGGAGACUUAUUACCUAGUCUUGCCAAACCGGGUUCAUGGUCGCUGCCAAGUCUUUGAACACUUUCUGGAAGUUUGGAUGUUUCCUCUCAAAACAUCCGUCUCUCCUGGAGGAUUAUCAUGCUUUGUCAACAAACAACAUGGAAAUUUUCAAAUAUGAAAUGCCAACUACUCGUUCAUAUCGAUUAUCGUACGAUGUUAGAUUCCUUUGUUGGUUUGGAUUCUCAUUGGCAUAUGAAACUUCCCGCGAAUUUGCUCUGUUCCUUACAUGGAUGAAAUUUAAUAGUGUUAUUAUUUUUGUUUGGCCGCGUGGUCCAGUUUGGGAAGGUUCAACGUGUUCAUAAAAAGGAAGCAUACUCUCUGGAAACUGAGGUAAAGAUAUAAGUAUUUACAACUGUUUUCCAUGCUGUUUUAAAAUAAAAUUUAAAAGAAAAAGGAAUACGCGGAAAGUGGAAUAUAUAGUGUAUGAACAUUUGACCUAAGGAAGGAUCAUAAGGAAAUAUCUUGUCACAUUUACAUUGAAAAUGAAAUAAAUUUAAUUACUAUUAUUAUUUCUUGGAAUGUCUCUACCUUCAACUUGACCUUUACCAGGUUCAAUUCUAGGUUGAAUCAUAUUAGUAGGUUUUAUUUAUUUGUUCUUAAUGUGAAUAUUUUAAUUCCUUGGUC
RNAcentral lists this long non-coding RNA (1121 nucleotides) under Durio zibethinus. RNAcentral describes it as "long non-coding RNA (DZIB_LNC001815)". Lineage: Eukaryota; Viridiplantae; Streptophyta; Magnoliopsida; Malvales; Malvaceae. The record is from RNAcentral.